UUUGGAGUUUAGAUUAAGGCAAGUUCUGUAAACAUUUCAUCCUCGAUGUGGUUUUUCACUCAUCUUCAAAUGCUACAAGGACGAUAAGUACUUACCUGCAGGGAUCCUUCUGUACUUACCUGCAGGGAUCCUUACCUGCAGGGAUCCUUCUGUACUUACCUGCAGGGAUCCUUCUGUACUUAUGUGGUACUUAAGAGGGUCAACACCUUAGACUGUUAAACCAAGUACAGGAAGUGGUAACACAACAAUAUGGGAGAGAGUCAUUUGUUACUAGCCAAUAAAGCUGAGUUUCUGUCUCUGAGCUUUUGGAUAAUACACGGUUGGUGCAGGAGGUUGAUAAGAGUAAUGAAAGGAAUGAACAUGUCCAUCAGUCUAUGUCAUCAUUUGAAGCUUCGGUCAUUUGUUAGUACACAUCACAAAGCAUUGAUAUGACUAAUGAUCUUAUAGAUGCAGCAGACAUUACGACUCUCAAACCAUCCUCCUACAGCAAUCACUUACACCAAACAUCCCUACGCCCAUGCAGUCGCUUAAGCAGGUCACAGAAUUUUCCUCCAGAGAAAUUCAGAGUACUAUGUGGGUUGCUUAUCUCUGUUAUGACAGGCACAGAGUUGGCAUUCACUAGGUUUUGAAGAAGAGAAAAAACUCUUUACAAAAUUGUGGAUUACUCUGUGUAGAAGAGUAUAUAUACCAUCCAGUAAUUGAUGGUCAAACUGUAAGGAUGAACAGAUGAAAAGUUGUUUAUGUGAACUGGUGGUACACAUCUAAAGAGCAUCCUAGUAGAAGCACAUGUAUAUCAGAUAUUCACUGCUGCUGUUAUAGCGUAGUGAAUGCAGAUGUUCACGAUUGCUUUCGUUCUCUCCAAACUUCAUUCUUUGUGGUUCCAAAGGUGGCUCAGG
This 896-nucleotide long non-coding RNA is filed under the name Capsicum annuum. Its description in RNAcentral is "long non-coding RNA (CANN_LNC003671)". The record is from RNAcentral. Lineage: Eukaryota; Viridiplantae; Streptophyta; Magnoliopsida; Solanales; Solanaceae.